Molecule: ribosomal RNA, 492 nt
Filed under: uncultured bacterium
Lineage: Bacteria
Description: partial 16S ribosomal RNA
Rfam family: Bacterial small subunit ribosomal RNA
Source: RNAcentral
AGUGAACGCUGGCGGUAGGCCUAACACAUGCAAGUCGAACGGCAGCACAGUAAGAGCUUGCUCUUACGGGUGGCGAGUGGCGGACGGGUGAGGAAUACAUCGGAAUCUACCUUUUCGUGGGGGAUAACGUAGGGAAAUUUACGCUAAUACCGCAUACGACCUACGGGUGAAAGCAGGGGAUCUUCGGACCUUGCGCGAUUGAAUGAGCCGAUGUCGGAUUAGCUAGUUGGCGGGGUAAAGGCCCACCAAGGCGACGAUCCGUAGCUGGUCUGAGAGGAUGAUCAGCCACACUGGAACUGAGACACGGUCCAGACUCCUACGGGAGGCAGCAGUGGGGAAUAUUGGACAAUGGGCGCAAGCCUGAUCCAGCCAUACCGCGUGGGUGAAGAAGGCCUUCGGGUUGUAAAGCCCUUUUGUUGGGAAAGAAAAGCAGCAGGUUAAUACCCCGCUGUUCUGACGGUACCCAAAGAAUAAGCACCGGCUAACUUCGUG